GUCUAACUUUCAAACUUACCCAUUUUACCUUUAACCAUGGAGCUUUACAGCUUUUGCAUAAGUCUUGAGUAAUUGAAAGAUAGAACAAUCAAGUCAAGCACUAUGUCUCAAAUUCUUCACAGUAUCAAUAUUUCAGAGUUUUGUAAUUUUUCGAAAUAAAUCUCAGAGCAUGAUUGUAUGACACCCUCAAGUCUUUUAUUAUGUAGUAUUUAUGGAUCUCACUAAGUAAAUUCUUAUAUCAAAAUAGUCAUGUCCAAAAUCUCAGGAGAAUUCAUGGUUGAAAACUAGGCACUUGAAAGGAAUUACGGUAGAGCAACUAUUCAUAAUCUCUAAGACAAAAUUUUAAUAUUAUCUACUUUUUUUAUUUGACUCUAAACUAGACUGACUCUAGACACACUCUAUGAUCACACCUUAAUAUAUAGAUACGUAUUUUAUUUGGUUUUUAUUUAUUUCUAUUGGACUCAGAAGACUCUAAAGAUAUAGACUUUUAUGUGCCCAUAUAUUUUUGGUAUUUUUAUUUUUUCUUAUGAUACUAUUUUGAACCUUCAUGUGCUCACAUAUUUUUGGUAUUUUAUGACUAUAUAAAAUAGACUCGAUAAUUGCCUAGGUAUAGUUACCUGAUAACUAGGAGAUGCUCCUCUCCAAAGCUAGAUGUUUGCAAUACUUGGUGUCGAUGAUCUUCAGAGCGAGUCCUGGUGGUUGCCACUAUUAGACUCUCUUCUUGUCCUAAUAUUGUCCCUGCAUAAUUAUAUUCUAAAAGAAAACUAAAACUUGAGGCUCGAAUUUGAUAAGAGGGUAGAUCAACCAAUAAGUAAUUGAUUAUUCUUAUGAGUUGAUUUCAAAUUGAUAAGUUCUAGUAGGAUUCUUUUUUAGGAUUUUCUAGUUUAAUUAUGCAGUAAUGAAAUAUGUGUACAUGAUGUAUAGUCUUAUUAUUAUUAUAUAUAUAUAUAUAUAUAUUAUGCCACCAUAGAGAAUAGUUAUUCUUAUGGGGCUUAGGCUUUUCAUAAUGCA
This 1011-nucleotide long non-coding RNA is filed under the name Sorghum bicolor (sorghum). RNAcentral's name for it is "long non-coding RNA (SBIC_LNC004349)". The record is from RNAcentral. Lineage: Eukaryota; Viridiplantae; Streptophyta; Magnoliopsida; Poales; Poaceae.